This 358-nucleotide ribosomal RNA is filed under the name uncultured bacterium. RNAcentral describes it as "bacterial SSU rRNA". It matches the Rfam family "Bacterial small subunit ribosomal RNA", at positions 28 to 346 of the family's 1533-position model. The record is from RNAcentral.
GAUGAACGCUGGCGGCGUGCCUAAUACAUGCAAGUCGAACGCAUUGUGGUUGAAAUGAUAUGAAGAACUUGUUCAGAUUUGAUUUUCAACAUUGCAAUGAGUGGCGAACGGGUGAGUAACACGUGGGAAACCUACCUCUUAGCAGGGGAUAACAUUUGGAAACAAAUGCUAAUACCGUAUAAUAAUUAAAACCGCAUGGUUUUAGUUUAAAAGAUGGUCUUGCUAUCACUAAGAGAUGGUCCCGCGGUGUAUUAGUUAGUUGGUGAGGUAAUGGCUCACCAAGUACAAUGAUACAUAGCCGAGUUGAGAGACUGACCGGCCACAAUGGGACUGAGACACGGCCCAUACUCCUACGGGA